UACGUAGGGGGCAAGCGUUGUCCGGAAUCACUGGGCGUAAAGGGCGCGUAGGCGGCUCAUGAAGGCUGUGGUGAAAGUCCGGGGCUCAACCUCGGAUCGGCCGUGGCGACUCGUGGGCUGGAGCACUGUAGAGGCGGGUGGAAUUCCGGGUGUAGCGGUGGAAUGCGUAGAGAUCCGGAAGAACACCAGUGGCGAAGGCGGCCCGCUGGGCAGUGGCUGACGCUGAGGCGCGACAGCGUGGGGAGCAAACAGG
RNAcentral lists this ribosomal RNA (253 nucleotides) under uncultured bacterium. RNAcentral describes it as "partial 16S ribosomal RNA". It matches the Rfam family "Bacterial small subunit ribosomal RNA", at positions 524 to 776 of the family's 1533-position model. The record is from RNAcentral.